RNAcentral lists this ribosomal RNA (253 nucleotides) under uncultured bacterium. Its description in RNAcentral is "partial 16S ribosomal RNA". It matches the Rfam family "Bacterial small subunit ribosomal RNA", at positions 524 to 776 of the family's 1533-position model. The record is from RNAcentral.
UACGUAGGGUCCGAGCGUUAAUCGGAAUUACUGGGCGUAAAGCGUGCGCAGGCGGUUUUGUAAGCCAGAUGUGAAAGCCCCGGGCUCAACCCAGGAACUGCGUCCGAUACUGGUUGGCUUGAAUCCGGGAGAGGGAUGUGGAAUUCCAGGUGUAGCGGUGAAAUGCGUAGAUAUCUGGAGGAACACCGGUGGCGAAGGCGACAUCCUGGACCGGCAUUGACGCUGAGGCGCGAAAGCCAGGGGAGCAAACGGG